This 264-nucleotide long non-coding RNA is filed under the name Lathyrus oleraceus (garden pea). Its description in RNAcentral is "Pisum sativum (pea) long non-coding RNA (PSAT_LNC014011)". The record is from RNAcentral. Lineage: Eukaryota; Viridiplantae; Streptophyta; Magnoliopsida; Fabales; Fabaceae.
GUGGUCUCGUGUUCUGAAUUUACCAAAUGAUGAAGCUCCGGUGAGAGCUCACCGGAGAAGAUGGCCAGAGUGUUCUAGGUCGUUUGAGUUCUCCAGACACACUAGACAUUUGAAAUGUUCUUAUUGGUUGGACUUGAAUUUGAUUUUGUGUGUUGCUUGUAGCGCGUUCCAUCGUGCAUCCUAACCUUAGGAGUGUUGGAUCUGCCAUGUCAACUAAUGAGGCAUGAUCCAACGCUCCGUGUUUUUUCUAAUUUUAAUUAUUUU